This is a long non-coding RNA of Tetranychus urticae (two-spotted spider mite), 2720 nucleotides long. RefSeq lists it as uncharacterized. The record is from RefSeq and is a predicted model, not a curated record. NCBI's taxonomy places the organism in Eukaryota, Metazoa, Arthropoda, Arachnida, Trombidiformes, Tetranychidae.
UCUUAAUGUUGAUGUUAAUAUUUGAGACAAAAAUUUAACUACAAGUCAAUGGUUGAUUUAAUCAACAGAGGGAAACGCGUUAAUUUAAUCAAAGAGGAAAUGUCAACCAUGUUUAUGCUGAUAAUCAAAUAACGACAAUUUAAAGUCAAAUGCUGUUGACUGACAACCAAAAAGUACAUUCUAAAUGAUGCCAAUCAUUGGUGAUGGUAAUGAUGAGGCUGAUGAUCUGCAAUAACUUAUAUGUUUCAUCAUGGUGAAAAAAAUUUGACGAGAGAAGCAAAAAAAAUGAGAAAUUUUUUGCAUCUCCAUCUUUCUCUUUCUUGAAAACCUAUUCGUCAAGUUGGUUAAAGAUUUGAAGAUGUCUCUUGGCUCUUGUAAUAUAUUCAAAAUGAUGAUGAUAACCAUAAAGAUUUGGCUAACUGAGCUACAAUCAAUGAACAAGCUUAACUGUGAAAGCCAGAAAAUACCAAGAAAGUACAUUUUUUUGUCAAUUUUUUGUGAUUCUUUGAGGCUCAAGAUCAAAAAGCUGGAUUCAAGGGAAACCUCAAGCAGUCAUUUUUGCGGGUUAACAAGAAACAAACAAAAAACUGGUAAAUUUAGAUUCAAAUUAAAGCUGUUGAAAUGGUAUUUUCAUCACUGGAUUCAUUGAAUAUUGAUUAGAUAUCUUUGACAUUGAGGCAUAACUUCAAGAGGAUAUUGGACGCUUCAAGCUUCUUUUAUCCUGGAACCUAUCGACUUACCUGAUACCCUGAAUAACGAUGAUUGAAUCUAUCUCACCGUUAAGCUCAACAGUCAAAUAAAGCAUCCAAUUGAUGCUUUAAUUUGGUUUUGAUUCCUGUUGCAUUACAUAAGACAGUUUAUUGUCAGAUUUAAACAUCUUUCCAUGUUUACCAUCCUUAAUAACCUUUCAAGGUGAUGUUCAUUAUCAUCAUCACUUGCAAUCAUUUACCUGUACAUCUUUUUGUGUAUAUGUUGAUGUUGAUGAGAAGGAAGAAGAAAAUAAGAGUUUUCUUUCUUUCUCAAUGGUAUUUUUCAUGACUAUGAUCAACAUAAGUGCCGUAAUAAUAACAUAUAUAUAGCCACACAAUAGAUUAAAAGUAAUAGAAUGAUAAUGAUGAUGAACAUGGAGGUAAGAUUAUUUUCGUGAUGGGAAAAGAUGAUGAUAAAGCUGGAUAAAGAGAAGAGAAAUAUUUUCUUAAGAAGUUGUCUAACUUGUUAACAACAGUGAAUCAAAGUUAACAGAGAAACCUGUUAACCUAAGGAAAAAAAAUGUGAACAUAAUUUGACCCUAAAUAUUGAUGAUAACAAGUUUUGGCCAUCAUCUUCAUCUCUGUGUAUUAACUUUCAUCUGGAUAAUGACCAUCUUAAAUAUCUAAAAAUUGAUUGAUAUUUUAUCAUCAGAAGCAUCAUCAACAACAACCGAACCACCAACAAAAGCAACAACCAGACAACCAUGUUUUGGCAUUUAAACGCAAAGAAAAGAUGAAAUACGAUGAGAUUUACAAACCAAUUUUUCCCUCUCAUGGUAAAAUAAACAUGGCAAUAUCUUGAAUUACAGCUAAUAACCCAAAAAAUGAUUUACAACAGAUUGAAUUAAUCUAUCCAGUUAUUAGACUAAUUAGCUUUUCCAAUCACAAUUUCCAGUUUCCAGUGCCAAUAAAAGUAUUAACCUUAAACCUUGGGAUGCAACUUUAACCUUAUUUGUGUUGUUAUCUGUAAUAAACAUUGCAAAGUCCAUCUAAAAUGCCCAUUUUAAGGUGACUUACAUAAGAUUCAAGUUGAUUAUGUCAAAGCAUGGAGAGGAAAAGAUGAUUUAUUGAUGCUAAAAGCAAAUCAAGUUGAAUCAAUUGGAUUGUUAAUGUUUUUUUGAGGUUUGCGUGGACAAAAUUGGCAAAAUUUUACAACCAAACAAAGGGUCAAUGAGAAGGCAAAAAUAUCUCCAAAACAUGAUGAUGAUGAUACAUAUAAGGUCUUUGCCUUUCACUCACAAUACAAUGUAAACAUGUUCAAUGGUCAACUCACUGCAUACCUGUUAACCAUAACUGUGCCCAUAAUUGUGCUUCUAACUGUAAUCUAAUGUAAUCACAGUGAAUUGGAUUGUUUGGGAAAAGCAAAAAAAGCUUCCGGACUUGAAUAUAUUGAAUCUUAAAUGGGUUUAUUAUGUUGAUCAAAAACCAUUUGUUCAUCUUGUUACUUUGCCUUGUAAACCUUUUUUAAAUGUCUUCAAUGUGUCCAACUGUGAUUUAAUCAAUCGCCUACUCAAUUAAAUCUAAUUACAAAACUAAUUGACACAAACAGUAGUAAAAAAAGUGAACCCAAAUUAGCAUUAUAAAGCGAUAAACAUCAAGACCUGAGUUGUCAGUGAAUCGUUUUGUAUCAUCAAAGAAAUGUGAAUUUACAAAUUGGAAAUAUUGAUUAGCUUGAAAAAUCAUUAAUACUCAACGUCUCAAUACAACUGUUCAGUGACAUUGCUUUUAAUCCUGUAAACUGGUUAACUUUGGGUUAACCGUUACUGGCCAUCAGGAAGUUGCUCGCAAUCAAAAUGGUAAAAUUUGAUUAAUAAUCAAUUUUCAAUUGUGAAGUCAAUUUGAAAUUUUAUAUCUUGAAUGGGAAAACAAUACCAACAAUGAUUAACCAUUUAUCGUUCAUGUUUAAACAUCAUUUUACUGGUUUGAAUUAACACUGAGUUUUUCCACCAUUAAACAUAUUAAUGGAAACAA